AUGGGGUCAAACCUCUCUGCUCUCCAGGCUUCCUUUACCUCCUCUGCUGAAGAAGCCGUCCCACUGCAGCCCCAUCCAGCUGCAUUUAACAGAAGACCAAGGACCAAAAAACCCAACCAAAAACAGGAGACUUUUCUUCACACCAGAACAUUUAAAGAUCACUUCCUCCUUCAAACCAAAUCUGUGCAAAUAACUUUAUGGAUACAGCAAAGAGACAGACGUCACUCGAGUGCAUCAGCCACGCACCCUCCCCACUCAGGCCUGAAUACAAACAUCAUAAAGCUUUUUCCUAGGAAACACGGAAUGCACAAUAGCAGGUCUUGGUUUCAGGACCUGACCCUCCUGCUAAUUGCAGACCUACAGCUGAUGCUUCCCUUCCUUCUCAAGUUCCUUCAAGAGCUCACCUCCCCCUUACCAAGCCCCAAGAAGCAAAUAAGCUUGUCUCUAAUAAGGGGUGGGCUCCUCAUCAGCUCUAAUUCAAGACCAGGUAUUUUCAUGUUUGGUGUUGGCCAACUGCUUGAGCUUCUAUCUGGCAGGUGGUACAGUUUCCAAAGGAUCUUGUUGGGAUGCAGGCAGCCCAGUGCCACUGCACACCAUUCUCCCCACUGAAAGAGCUCUGGCAGGCAGCAGAUAACAGAAUCUCAUCACCAGCAUAAGCUGGUGGAGUGGUAUGACAAGAAAAUGAGCUGCACAGAACAGCGAAGUGAAAAUAUGUUUACUGCUUCCCACCGGUAGGUAGACAUCUCUUCCAUAACACAUGCAGACACAUAGAUGUGGCACUGAGUGACAUGGUCAGAGGGCAUGAUGAUGGAGGAUUAACUCAGUGGUCUUUUCCAGCCUUAAUGAUGCUGUGAUGCUGCGACAGACCAUGUCCCCAGAAAGAUGCUUUUCCAUGCUAUUAAAGGCAAUCUGGGCUACACACCAUCACUUCCUUCGAGGAAUACCCAGCCAGCAGAGUGAGCGUGGCAUAUCUCAGACAAGAUGCAGUGAUAAAAGAAGGCAUUUCAUCUGCCUUGGACUACUAGCCAUGGAAAUGGGUACCAGGACCCUCAAGUAAAGGGUAUUGGUCUGUAUUAGCAAAAUAUUUCCCAUCUUGAUUCAGAGAAGCCCAAUGUUUAUCAAAACUGACCAUAAAAUACACGCUGUCAUUGCUAAACAGACGCACAAUUUGCAAUGGGGAUGCAAAUCUGCAGCAGAGCGUGAAAGCAGACAUUUCCUAGAGCAUUUCACAACACACACAGCAGCAAAGUUCUGAGCCUGAUUAUGUACGUGUUAAUCUGAUCAAAAUAAAACCCGUGUCCUGUCAGCA
RNAcentral lists this long non-coding RNA (1309 nucleotides) under Coturnix japonica (Japanese quail). RNAcentral describes it as "lncRNA (ENSCJPG00005005583.1)". Lineage: Eukaryota; Metazoa; Chordata; Aves; Galliformes; Phasianidae. The record is from RNAcentral.